CAGUCCAACAGCUAGCCCAACAAACCAAAAACAACAACUCAACAUAAAUAACCCCUAAAACAAUAAAAUAAACCAAACAAACCAUUUUUCCACCCCAGUAUGGGCGACAGAAAAGGAACUACGGAGCAAUAAAAGAAGUACCGCAAGGGAAUGCUGAAAGAGAAAUGAAACAACUUAGUAAAACCUAAAAAAGCAGAGUUUUAAGCUUGUACCUUUUGCAUCAUGCUUUAGCUAGAGUAAUUUAAGCAAAGCGCACUAUAGUUUAAUUACCCGAAACUAAGUGAGCUACUCCAAGACAGCCUAUUAAUUAGGGCUAACCCGUCUCUGUCGCAAAAGAGUGGGAAGAGCUUUGAGUAGAGGUGACAGACCUAUCGAACUUAGUAAUAGCUGGUUGCCUAAGAAUUGAAUAGGAGUUCAGCCCCUUAGCUUCUUCAUUCACACCGGUUCUACCCUUACCCGAUAUGUAGAAACUUAGGGAGUUAUUCAAAGGGGGUACAGCCCCUUUGAAUGAAGACACAACUUUUAUAGAAGGAUAAAGAUCAUA
RNAcentral lists this ribosomal RNA (544 nucleotides) under Ablabys taenianotus (cockatoo waspfish). Its description in RNAcentral is "partial 16S large subunit ribosomal RNA". The stretch from base 177 to 544 matches the Rfam family "Bacterial large subunit ribosomal RNA", at positions 569 to 1050 of the family's 2925-position model. Lineage: Eukaryota; Metazoa; Chordata; Actinopteri; Perciformes; Tetrarogidae. The record is from RNAcentral.